CUGGCUCAGGAUGAACGCUAGCGACAGGCUAACACAUGCAAGUCGAGGGGCAUCACGGGAGUAGCAAUACAACUGGUGGCGACCGGCGCACGGGUGAGUAACGCGUAUGCAACCUACCUAUCAGGAGGGGAAUAACCCGGCGAAAGUCGGACUAAUACCGCAUAAAACAGGGGCACCGCAUGGUGAUAUUUGUUAAAGAAAUUCGCUGAUAGAUGGGCAUGCGUUCCAUUAGGUAGUUGGUGAGGUAACGGCUCACCAAGCCGACGAUGGAUAGGGAACUGAGAGGUUGGUCCCCCACACUGGUACUGAGACACGGACCAGACUCCUACGGGAGGCAGCAGUGAGGAAUAUUGGUCAAUGGGCGGGAGCCUGAACCAGCCAAGUCGCGUGAAGGAAGAAGGAUCUAUGGUUCGUAAACUUCUUUGCAGGGGAAUAAAGUGCAGGACGUGUCCUGUUUUGUAUGUACCCUGAGAAUAAGGAUCGGCUAACUCCGUGCCAGCCGCGGC
This 506-nucleotide ribosomal RNA is filed under the name uncultured bacterium. RNAcentral's name for it is "bacterial SSU rRNA". It matches the Rfam family "Bacterial small subunit ribosomal RNA", at positions 19 to 518 of the family's 1533-position model. The record is from RNAcentral.